CUGGUUGAUCCUGCCAGUAGUCAUAUGCUUGUCUCAAAGAUUAAGCCAUGCAUGUCUAAGUGUAAAUACGUCUACACUGUGAAACUGCGAAUGGCUCAUUAAAUCAGUUAUCGUUUAUUUGAUGGUCAACUUACUACAUGGAUAACCGUAGUAAUUCUAGAGCUAAUACAUGCGUAAAGCCCCGACUCACGAAGGGGUGUAUUUAUUAGAUUCAAAACCAACCGUGGUACCCCCACGUCCCUUGGUGAUUCAUAAUAACUUGUCGAACCGCAUGACCUUGCGUUGGCGGUGAUUCAUUCAA
This 301-nucleotide ribosomal RNA is filed under the name uncultured eukaryote. Its description in RNAcentral is "SSU rRNA". It matches the Rfam family "Eukaryotic small subunit ribosomal RNA", at positions 4 to 302 of the family's 1831-position model. The record is from RNAcentral.